GUACACUCCUGCGGGAGGCAGCAGUGGGGAAUUUUGGACAAUGGGCGAAAGCCUGAUCCAGCAAUGCCGCGUGAGUGAAGAAGGCCUUCGGGUUGUAAAGCUCUUUUGUCAGGGAAGAAACGGUGAGAGCUAAUAUCUCUUGCUAAUGACGGUACCUGAAGAAUAAGCACCGGCUAACUACGUGCCAGCAGCCGCGGUAAUAAGUAGGGUGCAAGCGUUAAUCGGAAUUACUGGGCGUAAAGCGUGCGCAGGCGGUUUUGUAAGUCUGAUGUGAAAUCCCCGGGCUCAACCUGGGAAUUGCAUUGGAGACUGCAAGGCUAGAAUCUGGCAGAGGGGGGUAGAAUUCCACGUGUAGCAGUGAAAUGCGUAGAUAUGUGGAGGAACACCGAUGGCGAAGGCAGCCCCCUGGGUCAAGAUUGACGCUCAUGCACGAAAGCGUGGGGAGCAAACAGGAUUAGAUACCCUUGUAGUCCC
Molecule: ribosomal RNA, 474 nt
Filed under: uncultured organism
Description: partial 16S ribosomal RNA
Rfam family: Bacterial small subunit ribosomal RNA
Source: RNAcentral